GACGGAGGGGGCAAGCGUUGUCCGGAAUCACUGGGCGUAAAGCGCGCGUAGGUGGCGCGGUGCGUCGGUGCUGAAAGCGCCGGGCUUAACCCGGCGAGGUGUGCCGAUACGACCGGGCUCGAGGCCAGCAGAGGGUGGCGGAAUUCCAGGUGUAGCGGUGAAAUGCGUAGAUAUCUGGAGGAACAUCGGUGGCGAAGGCGGCAUCCUGGACCGGUAUUGACGCUGAGGCGCGAAAGCCAGGGGAGCAAACAGG
RNAcentral lists this ribosomal RNA (253 nucleotides) under uncultured bacterium. RNAcentral describes it as "partial 16S ribosomal RNA". It matches the Rfam family "Bacterial small subunit ribosomal RNA", at positions 524 to 776 of the family's 1533-position model. The record is from RNAcentral.